AACGAACGCUGGCGGCAUGCCUUACACAUGCAAGUCGAACGGUAGCAGGUCUUCGGAUGCUGACGAGUGGCGAACGGGUGAGUAAUACAUCGGAACGUGCCCGAUCGUGGGGGAUAACGGAGCGAAAGCUUUGCUAAUACCGCAUACGAUCUACGGAUGAAAGCAGGGGACCGCAAGGCCUUGCGCGGACGGAGCGGCCGAUGGCAGAUUAGGUAGUUGGUGGGAUAAAAGCUUACCAAGCCGACGAUCUGUAGCUGGUCUGAGAGGACGACCAGCCACACUGGGACUGAGACACGGCCCAGACUCCUACGGGAGGCAGCAGUGGGGAAUUUUGGACAAUGGGCGAAAGCCUGAUCCAGCCAUGCCGCGUGCAGGAUGAAGGCCUUCGGGUUGUAAACUGCUUUUGUACGGAACGAAAAGACUAUUUCUAAUAAAGAGGGUCCAUGACGGUACCGUAAGAAUAAGCACCGGCUAACUACGUGCCAGCCGCCGCGGUAA
RNAcentral lists this ribosomal RNA (498 nucleotides) under uncultured bacterium. Its description in RNAcentral is "partial 16S ribosomal RNA". It matches the Rfam family "Bacterial small subunit ribosomal RNA", at positions 29 to 523 of the family's 1533-position model. The record is from RNAcentral.